UUACAUUUUAUUAUAUUGGUAUAAAAAUUUUUGAAAUUUUAGGUAAUAGGUAAUUCUAUUAAAUGUA
RNAcentral lists this transfer RNA (67 nucleotides) under Coleoptera sp. ACP-2013. RNAcentral's name for it is "tRNA-Gln". The record is from RNAcentral. Lineage: Eukaryota; Metazoa; Arthropoda; Insecta; Coleoptera.